RNAcentral lists this unclassified non-coding RNA (352 nucleotides) under fungal sp. RNAcentral describes it as "partial internal transcribed spacer region". The stretch from base 1 to 46 matches the Rfam family "Eukaryotic small subunit ribosomal RNA", at positions 1786 to 1831 of the family's 1831-position model. Lineage: Eukaryota; Fungi. The record is from RNAcentral.
AAGUCGUAACAAGGUUUCCGUAGGUGAACCUGCGGAAGGAUCAUUAACACGUAUCCAACGUUAAACAACCCCGUGAACCUUCAGCCUGCUCUCGUAGCCCACGCGGCAACAGCAAUCCCAGUAAAUCAUUGACGACCAGUUUUGAUUCGGGACCUCUGUUACGAUGUCCCCAAGCAGAAUCCAGAGAAUGAAAGGAUCACUGGCUGCGCAAGGAUCUAGAGGUCGAUCACCGACCGGCAGACAUGUCACAGGGUCCCCAUGCCCCUUACCUCACCCCAUUACUAAUGACUAGCUUAGCGGUCUGAGUAAAAAAAAAACCAAACAACUGUUAACAAUGGAUAUCUUGGUUCUC